CUUGGAGUUCGAGAGGAGGAUAGAAAAUCUCGAAGAAGAAAAGAUGUACUUGAGUUUUGACAUUGAUGUUCAAAAGAUGGAAGUCGAGAAAGAGAGGAAAGAAAAAAGGAAGAUUGAGGAAGAUCGAGAUGAUCUAAGGGAGCAUUACAAAAGGGCACAAGUAGCCUUGAGGAGGGUGAGAGUAGGAGGAUCUUUGAAUCAGUGGCAGAAGGAGGUUCAAGAAGAAAAGGAUAGAGCCGAGUACUGGG
This 248-nucleotide long non-coding RNA is filed under the name Gossypium barbadense (sea-island cotton). Its description in RNAcentral is "long non-coding RNA (GBAR_LNC009265)". The record is from RNAcentral. Lineage: Eukaryota; Viridiplantae; Streptophyta; Magnoliopsida; Malvales; Malvaceae.